RNAcentral lists this long non-coding RNA (954 nucleotides) under Carica papaya (papaya). RNAcentral's name for it is "long non-coding RNA (CPAP_LNC008221)". The record is from RNAcentral. Lineage: Eukaryota; Viridiplantae; Streptophyta; Magnoliopsida; Brassicales; Caricaceae.
UUCUAAUUUCGAGGUUUUUUUUUUCAAAUCUUAAGAAAAGCAAAAAAAAGAGCCACAGGGAGAAAGCCAAAGUUGGGAAGAAAUAUCAGAUCGGAGGAAGAGAGAAAUUAGAGCUGCGACCACCUCGGGUCCUUCUUCCGCCGCGUGCAGAGCCGCGCGACCACCUCGGGUCCUUCUUCCUCCGCGUGCAGAGCCGCGAGACCACCUCGGGUCCUUCUUCCUCCGCGCGCUGAGACGAGCGAAGAGUCGAUUGACCCAGCUUCUUCUUUUGCUGCGCGCAGAGACGCGCGAAGAGCUGAUCAACCCAGCUUCUUCUUCGGCCACGAGCAGAGCCGCGCAAAGAGCUGUGCGAUCCAAUUUCUCUUCUGCCGCGCACAGAGCCUCUAGCAGCGCCAUGUCACGCACAGAUCGGAUUUUUCCCUGCCAUGAUCUGUUUCACUUUACAGAUCGGGUCUGUUUGUGCUGCCAGCCUUCUUCUUCCGCCAUAGAUCCACACAAACAGGAAGCUUUUAUGGCUGCGAUCUCUACUUCGCACAAAUCUGCCUGAGCUGACUAAGCCGCGCAGAGUCUAGUCCGAGCCGACUUAAGCUGUUGUCCGAGCUGAAUCAUUUUUUGAGCUGAGUUUUAGCCAUUUUAAAAAAACUUACUAUUCUCUGUAAAUAGAUUUAUUAAUCUAUUGGUGAUGUACUAUUAUUUGAUUAUAUGAGAAUAUUUUUUCGUCCGUCAAAUUCAUGGAUGUUGUUAUAUUAUCGAAUUGUGUUAAAACCUUAUGUUCUUUUCUUUUACUUUGUUAAGCUUGUGCAUACUUUUGAAAUUUAUUUCCCCAACAAAUAAUAUCUAAACCUAAAUUAGAGAGAGAAAACUUAGGUUAGUAAGAGAAAGUAAAAAAAAAGAUUAGAAUUUUUGGCAGAACGCAGUUUGGAGAAGGCAAACCACACAGUGAUAACGGCUCAC